CCUACGGGAGGCAGCAGUGAGGAAUAUUGGUCAAUGGACGAGAGUCUGAACCAGCCAAGUAGCGUGAAGGAUGACUGCCCUAUGGGUUGUAAACUUCUUUUAUAUGGGAAUAAAAUGUUCCACGUGUGGGAUUUUGUAUGUACCAUAUGAAUAAGGAUCGGCUAACUCCGUGCCAGCAGCCGCGGUAAUACGGAGGAUCCGAGCGUUAUCCGGAUUUAUUGGGUUUAAAGGGAGCGUAGGUGGAUUGUUAAGUCAGUUGUGAAAGUUUGCGGCUCAACCGUAAAAUUGCAGUUGAAACUGGCAGUCUUGAGUACAGUAGAGGUGGGCGGAAUUCGUGGUGUAGCGGUGAAAUGCGUAGAUAUCACGAAGAACUCCGAUGGCGAAGGCAGUUCACUGGACUGCAACUGACACUGAGGCUCGAAAGUGUGGGUAUCAAACAGGAUUAGAUACCCCUGUAGUC
This 460-nucleotide ribosomal RNA is filed under the name uncultured bacterium. Its description in RNAcentral is "partial 16S ribosomal RNA". It matches the Rfam family "Bacterial small subunit ribosomal RNA", at positions 338 to 795 of the family's 1533-position model. The record is from RNAcentral.